Molecule: long non-coding RNA, 441 nt
Organism: Vigna radiata var. radiata (mung bean)
Lineage: Eukaryota; Viridiplantae; Streptophyta; Magnoliopsida; Fabales; Fabaceae
Exons: 3
Source: RefSeq, a predicted model, not a curated record
UUUUUUACCAUCCUGGUUACAAUUAAUCUUAAUUAACCAUAUAUUGUUUGUUAUUAAAGGGAUACCAGCAUUUACUCAAGUAAGUCAGUUUCUGCCUUGAAAUCUUUUUUUUUUAUUACUUUAUUUUAUUUGCAUGACUUCUGAAAUCAACUCUGAAAUUAAAAUGAUAAUGGAUUGAAAACUUUGACAGGCUUGUGGGAUUCUACGAGUUGUAGAAGUUUUAAACUCCUUUUUUGCAUUCCUUUUUAAAUUUACAAUCAAUUUUCGUACUGAAACAGAAAGAAAGAGCGCUUUGCCGUUUCUUGUAACAAAACGGUCAGAACUAUCACUUUAUCAGAGGGAUUAUGUUGAGCUUACUCCUAAGAAUGUGCAGGUGUUGGUGGGAACUCUGGCAGCUUUAUAUCGGGCAAUUCAUUCUUCAUAUGCCUCUACUCAGGUAAU